UUUCUCUUCGGAAGCUAGGAAGAUUGACACUCCAAAAUCUGCCAAGCCUAGAAUGCUUCUCCUCCAUCACAAGUUGUAUAUUCAAGUUUCCAUCCAUGCAUUCAAUAGAAGUGGAAGAGUGCCCGAAAAUGAAGAUAUUUUGUAAGAGUACGAUAAGCACACCAACACUCUAUUGGGUGACAUUGUUCGGAUACAAGUGGCAAGAGGAUUGGGAAGGUGAUCUCAACACAACCAUUCAAAAGUUAACAACAUAACUAGAUGGACAUAAAAUUGCACAAGUUCUGUAACUUUUCACAUUGAUGAAGGGAAGGGUACAUGCUGCGAGCGGUACAAAGAUCUAGAAGUUACUGAGGCACAGUCAAAAGUUGAGAGGACAGAAAUUUCUAUUAAGGAUAGAAGAUGAACAUCGCUGGCAAAGUUUUGCAAAUGGAGACGGCUCAUUUCUUCAAGGUCAUUCUCUCUCUAAAGGAAGGAAAUGUCUGUGUGUUCAAGCUCGUUAGAAUUUAUAAUAUUUGACUCAAAGUCUCCAUUUUCAGAAGGAAUGUCAAGACUCUGGCAUAAGCUCUGGUAUGCCUGCAAAAAAAUCUCUGCUUCGCAAUGUUUUGUUUAAUUAAUCAGAUCGAAAAAAGCAAAACGUUCUGCUGCAACAGAUUGAAUGGUGAUGCAUUUCUUGAUGUUUUUUUUAUAGAGUAGCGAACAUCCUUAGACCUAGACAUUGCAUCUUUCCAAAAUUCCGGGUAUGUUAUAAGUCGAACUCAUGCGGAGCGUGAUAUCAAUAAAAUAAAAGGCCGAAGGCAAUUCUCAUCUAUUGCCAUUAUAAGAUCACUACAAUCUGGAACUCAGUUCCGACCAUGACAUAGAAGUUAAUGAAUGAACGAUUGAAAU
This is a long non-coding RNA of Eucalyptus grandis, 885 nucleotides long. RefSeq lists it as uncharacterized. Lineage: Eukaryota; Viridiplantae; Streptophyta; Magnoliopsida; Myrtales; Myrtaceae. The transcript is spliced from 3 exons. The record is from RefSeq and is a predicted model, not a curated record.